This 468-nucleotide ribosomal RNA is filed under the name uncultured bacterium. RNAcentral's name for it is "partial 16S ribosomal RNA". It matches the Rfam family "Bacterial small subunit ribosomal RNA", at positions 28 to 507 of the family's 1533-position model. The record is from RNAcentral.
GACGAACGCUGGCGGCGUGCUUAACACAUGCAAGUCGAACGGAAAGGCCCUGCCUUUGUGGGGUGCUCGCGUGGCGAACGGGUGAGUAACACGUGAGUAACCUGCCCUUGACUUUGGGAUAACUUCAGGAAACUGGGGCUAAUACCGGAUAGGAGCUCCUGCUGCAUGGUGGGGGUUGGAAAGUUUCGGCGGUUGGGGAUGGACUCGCGGCUUAUCAGCUUGUUGGUGGGGUAGUGGCUUACCAAGGCUUUGACGGGUAGCCGGCCUGAGAGGGGGGCCGGCCACAUUGGGACUGCGAUACGGCCCAGACGCCUACGGUGGGCAGCAGUGGGGAGUAUUGCACAAUGGGCGGAAGCCUGAUGCAGCAACGCCGCGUGCGGGAUGAAGGCCUUCGGGUUGUAAACCGCUUUCGCCUGUGACGAAGCGUGAGUGACGGUAAUGGGUAAAGAAGCACCGGCUAACUACGUG